CCACACUGCUCGUAUUAGCACCUAGUGCCUCUCAUGAAGACCAGCAAACCUCCGGGAUCACCAGCCCCUUGAGGUAAGAGCAUCUAACAUGAAAGACAGAUUCCAUACCUACCAAAAUAAAGGAGCCCUAAGGAAACAGAAACAAUAAGAGUAGCAAAAGAUCAUAUAAAAAAGAAAAAAAUCUCCAAAAGAAAAUACCACACCCCUGACCUAAGAACAAGAUGUUAUGAAAAAGGAACAGGCAGAGAAUAAGAGCUCAUUUGGGGGGCAUCUGGGUGGCUCAGUUGGUUAAGUGUCCAGCUUUUGAUUUCAGCUCAGGUUGUGAUCUCAGGGUUUGUGAGAUCGAGCCCUGAAUUGGGCUCUGUGCUGACACCAUGGAGCCUGCUUGGGAUUCUCUCUCUCCCUCUCUGCCCUUUCCCUGCUUGUGCGUGUGUGCUCUCUUUCUCUCUCUCAAAAUAAAUAAAUUUUUAGAAAGAGCUUUUUUUUUAAUUAAAAUAUAAAUAGCAAAAGUGAAAACUCGAAGAUAAGUUUCCCACAAAUUAGAAAAAAGCAAAAUGAAAAAAUACAAGAGAAAAUAUAAAAUUAGACCACCGGUUUAGGCACAAUCUAACGUGUAAUUAGUGAAUUAGGAGAACACAGAAGGGAGAGCUUCAUCAAGGCAGUCAUCCACCAGAAAAUGUCCUAGAACAGGAGGAUGUGAGGCUCUAGGCCAAAGGAAUGAAAACCCACCCCAGACAGGGUGUUGCAACAUUUCUAGAACCAGGGCACGUCAAACUGACUCUUAAAUCUUCCAGAAAGCGGGCCAGGUCCCCUGUGAAGAGCCCCGGAUCUGACUGACCCUGGAUCUGGCAGCCAUCACACGUGGGCCCAGGUGACAGCAGCACGGCCUUCGAAGUUCUGAAGAAGCUGCGUUUGGAAUCCCAGAAGCUCUACGCAGCGAAUCUUGAAAGAGGGCUGCAUAAGGCCACCUGCAGGAGAACCCCUUGCUGGGCCCUCACCUUGCCAUGCCUGAGUAGGCCUGCUCCCACGACACUGCCUCCUGGAAGCCCUCCUGGCUCCCUUCCAAAGCAACACUUCUGUAUCACCCUGCUGACUAUCCCUGUGCUACUCUGGCUCUGACUCCCUGACUCACGGCCUUUCUGAUUUCCUGUCACCCUCCCGUGCCGGCACGUGUCCCCGGAGCCCAGCACAGGCCUGGCGCACGGUGGCGUCCGUGAGGCGUUGGCCAAGAAAUCAAAGAACACGCUUCCC
This 1251-nucleotide long non-coding RNA is filed under the name Felis catus (domestic cat). RNAcentral's name for it is "lncRNA (ENSFCAG00000049700.1)". Lineage: Eukaryota; Metazoa; Chordata; Mammalia; Carnivora; Felidae. The record is from RNAcentral.